This 423-nucleotide ribosomal RNA is filed under the name uncultured bacterium. Its description in RNAcentral is "bacterial SSU rRNA". It matches the Rfam family "Bacterial small subunit ribosomal RNA", at positions 355 to 775 of the family's 1533-position model. The record is from RNAcentral.
UAAGGAAUAUUGGGCAAUGGACGCAAGUCUGACCCAGCCAUGCCGCGUGAAGGAAGACGGCCCUAUGGGUUGUAAACUUCUUUUCUCAGGGGGUAAACUUCGGAACGUGUUCCGGACUGAAAGUACCUGAGGAAUAAGCAUCGGCUAACUCCGUGCCAGCAGCCGCGGUAAUACGGAGGAUGCGAGCGUUAUCCGGAUUCAUUGGGUUUAAAGGGUGCGCAGGCGGAUAUAUAAGUCGGAGGUGAAAUUCUGAUGCUCAACAUCAGCCGUGCCUUCGAUACUGUAUAUCUAGAGUCAAGUUGGAGUAGGCGGAAUGUGUUGUGUAGCGGUGAAAUGCUUAGAUAUAACACAGAACACCGAUCGCGAAGGCAGCUUACUAAACUUUGACUGACGCUCAUGCACGAAAGCGUGGGGAUCAAACAG